RNAcentral lists this ribosomal RNA (484 nucleotides) under uncultured bacterium. RNAcentral describes it as "bacterial SSU rRNA". It matches the Rfam family "Bacterial small subunit ribosomal RNA", at positions 29 to 493 of the family's 1533-position model. The record is from RNAcentral.
AUUGAACGCUGGCGGCAUGCCUAACACAUGCAAGUCGAACGGCAGCACGGCAGUAGCAAUACUGUGGGUGGCGAGUGGCGGACGGGUGAGGAAUACGUCGGAAUCUGCCCAGUCGUGGGGGAUAACUAGCCGAAAGGUUAGCUAAUACCGCAUACGACCGAGAGGUGAAAGCGGGGGACCGCAAGGCCUCGCGCGAUUGGAUGAGCCGACGUCGGAUUAGCUAGUUGGUGGGGUAAAGGCCCACCAAGGCGACGAUCCGUAGCUGGUCUGAGAGGAUGAUCAGCCACACUGGAACUGAGACACGGUCCAGACUCCUACGGGAGGCAGCAGUGGGGGAAUAUUGGACAAUGGGGGCAACCCUGAUCCAGCCAUGCCGCGUGAGUGAAGAAGGCCUCGGUUGUAAGACGUCUUCGGUCCGGGACGGAAAGUACGCGAUGGUGGAAGUACCUACGUGUGGAGUGACGGUACCGGAACGAACGAAGAC